RNAcentral lists this ribosomal RNA (641 nucleotides) under Streptomyces sp. I13A-01709. RNAcentral's name for it is "bacterial SSU rRNA". It matches the Rfam family "Bacterial small subunit ribosomal RNA", at positions 94 to 749 of the family's 1533-position model. The record is from RNAcentral. Lineage: Bacteria; Bacillati; Actinomycetota; Actinomycetes; Kitasatosporales; Streptomycetaceae.
AGUGGCGAACGGGUGAGUAACACGUGGGCAAUCUGCCCUGCACUCUGGGAUAAGCCCGGGAAACUGGGUCUAAUACCGGAUACGACACAUGAGCGCAUGCUCGUGUGUGGAAAGUUCCGGCGGUGCAGGAUGAGCCCGCGGCCUAUCAGUUUGUUGGUGGGGUAGUGGCCUACCAAGACGACGACGGGUAGCCGGCCUGAGAGGGUGACCGGCCACACUGGGACUGAGACACGGCCCAGACUCCUACGGGAGGCAGCAGUGGGGAAUAUUGCACAAUGGGCGAAAGCCUGAUGCAGCGACGCCGCGUGAGGGAUGACGGCCUUCGGGUUGUAAACCUCUUUCAGCAGGGAAGAAGCGAAAGUGACGGUACCUGCAGAAGAAGCACCGGCUAACUACGUGCCAGCAGCCGCGGUAAUACGUAGGGUGCAAGCGUUGUCCGGAAUUAUUGGGCGUAAAGAGCUCGUAGGCGGCCUGUCGCGUCGAUUGUGAAAGCCCAGGGCUUAACCCUGGGUCUGCAGUCGAUACGGGCAGGCUAGAGUUCGGUAGGGGAGAUCGGAAUUCCUGGUGUAGCGGUGAAAUGCGCAGAUAUCAGGAGGAACACCGGUGGCGAAGGCGGAUCUCUGGGCCGAUACUGACGCUGA